AGCUUUGCGCAAUGGCCGUUUCGUAGCCAAUGAGAUUUAUCCGAGGCGCAAUUACCGCUAAUUAAAAUUGGCACCUGAAAAGUUAAAAUAGCAAUGAGACAGAACAAAAGUUU
RNAcentral lists this small nuclear RNA (113 nucleotides) under Neogale vison (American mink). RNAcentral describes it as "Neovison vison (American mink) U4 spliceosomal RNA (ENSNVIG00000002871.1)". The record is from RNAcentral. Lineage: Eukaryota; Metazoa; Chordata; Mammalia; Carnivora; Mustelidae.